Molecule: long non-coding RNA, 1977 nt
Organism: Mytilus trossulus (common blue mussel)
Lineage: Eukaryota; Metazoa; Mollusca; Bivalvia; Mytilida; Mytilidae
Exons: 10
Source: RefSeq, a predicted model, not a curated record
UUUGCUAAGUCAUUUUAUUAUGCUAAAAAAGAACCAAUGAAAAAAUUUAAAAUGGCAGGACAGACAUAAUGUGAAAAAAGAAAGCAAUAUGGCGGAUAAACUGUGAACGUGUGUAGCUUGGUAAAACCUGGCUGUGUAAUUUCCUGAUGUUCAUAUUAUACUAACAAAUCUAGUUAAAUUUGUAAUUUUAAAAUUGAAGUUAAAACGCAAAAUUUAAAUUUCUUUAGAAUAUGACAAAAGCGCAUGCGCAUUAUGCAUCUUGUUCAUCUGAAUAUGCACCGUGUGCAUCACAAAUUUGGGUAUAUAUUUCAAGGAGAAAAAUAGCUUCUGUGUCACGACACAGCCCAAUAAUAUUGGCGCAAAAACAGUGGGCGGGAACGUACUGUAGAUUUUUUUGAAGGUCUACUUGAUGACCAAGGAACAUAGAUAUCUCAUUGUGACGAGAUAUUUUUCAUUUCAUUUGUUCAAGGAUCCAGUGUCAUAAUUAAAACAUUUUUUAGGCAAGUGCAAUGCCAAGCAAUGUAAACUAAAUAACUGAUUGGAGCAUGCACCUCUAACCGUGUGAAAAUCUGUAAUGUCUCGUAUGGAAAUGCACUGUCAUCUGCAUUUGAUUGCACAUAUUGAAUGCACAUUGGUGAGCACUGGAGUGUAUCAUUUGUGUGUAUGCACAGCGAUAGGAUAUUGUAUGGUUAAAAAGAUGUUGAUAGUUGCUGUAUUUUCCCGCCAAAGGUCACAUUCAUUCUGGCGGUAGUCACCAAUGGUCGCCAUCUUGGUUGUCUGGGGAAGUGCGAGUUGGCCAUGUCAUCUGCUGUAGUUGUUUGCUGUUGUACUGAAAUGGAUUAAGGAACUUCUUUAUGAAUAGAAAGAUUAUGACGAAAGUGUAUGUCUGCUAAUAGAUUGUCAAAUGUUCUGCAAAAAUCAAGAAUGUUAUCCGUUUGGAAGUGGAAACAGGAUUUGACUGCUGACAAAUUAUCGAAAGCCAAGGAAAGUCCAGUAAAAGUCAAGAUUUUUUUUCCGUUUGGAAGUGGAAACAGAUGUGAAGAAUGGAUUAAGGUUCUAAGGAGUACCACCCAAGAGGCCGAGUAGCGAUUUUUGAUGAAGACGAUUAAAAGAAGGAGAAAGAUAAUGAAAAGAGAGAAAGAAAGUGUAAAGACAGAAGGAGAAAGAAGAUGUAAAGAUUGAGCAGACAAAAGAUAAACGUUCUCUGAACACAUGGUGUGUCUUCCUCUACAUUUAUGUCAGCCAUAUUGAAUGAUUAUACAAUACUAAGGGAGAUAACUCAAGUUUCCUUAGAAGGAGAAUGUAAAAAGCCUGAAGUUGAUUAAGACAUUGGAUAAAGAAGGUAAAGCCACAUGGUUUUGUUAAAGGUCAUAGGCGUUCUUAACGCCGCCUAGCAGCACAUUUUUAUAGAAACAGUUGAAAAGAACUAAUAAAAGACGUCUGACAGAGAGAGAUUAUAGUAAGUAACCCUGUAUUUAUUAAUAACAGUAAUUGAUAUUAGCGUCAGAUUCCUUUUUGUCAAAGCUUGCCGACCAAAUGUCACAAUACUUAUACUCGAGAUCUUAAGCCAUUCUAGAAAGAAAGUAAUUAUAGUCUUUCCUAUUAUUUGAAAUUCAGAAAAGGUCUUCUUGCCGGUUAUAAAGAUUCUAAUUGUCUGGGUUUGAUUGUUUGUAAUUCGAUGAUAAUCAGCGAGUGUACUGCUUCGUCUGUCCCUAGCUGCUCUGACCGAAAAAUGAGCAAAACUCAGUCAUUAAAAGCUGGACAAAUAAAUUUUUGUUUAUAACAGAUAAUUAUAUUUUAGUGGUGUUUUUCGGUGAUUAGUUGUACUUUUGCCAUUGAUGUGGGUGUUUGUCAGAGUGUUCCGUUACAGAUAUAGGCUAGACUUAAAUCUGUUAAUUGAUCAAAACCAUCAUACAAAUGACAUUUUAUUAAAUAAUUGGGUGUUGCACAAAUGCGAAGUUGUCCAGUGUUUUUAAA